Molecule: long non-coding RNA, 4443 nt
Filed under: Coffea arabica (coffee)
Lineage: Eukaryota; Viridiplantae; Streptophyta; Magnoliopsida; Gentianales; Rubiaceae
Description: long non-coding RNA (CARA_LNC006362)
Source: RNAcentral
UCCUUUUUUUUGUUUUUUAUUCGAUCCUUUUUUCUCUGUUUUUCCUUACCGUCUCCCCCCUCCCUCUCCCCCUUUUUCCCUUUCUCUCCUUCUUUUUUUUCAAUUAUAUGAUUCUAACUGAUUUUUUUCCCUUGUUAGAGUUGGUCUGGAUAUGAAGCUCCUAAACGCAUGAGACACAGAAAUCAUCUUAAUUGGUAAGCUCCAAUAUUUCCCUAAAGUUUUACAGUUUCCUUUAUUUCAAAAAGAAAGAUAUUUUUCCUGCUAGGAUUUGUUAAUUUUCCAUAAUAACCCAGAGGUCUGAGAUACUAUUCUUCCAUCUCCUUCUUUGAACAAACAAAAAAGUAGUACAAUCUAUUCAAAAGCAGCGAAAGUCAGAAGUAUUUAUAGACCCAAAGAUCUGCUUUUUUUUUUUUUUCUUGUUGAGUAUCUAUUUUCUGUUUGUGGGAGAAAAAGCCUUGCGGAUGUCUCUUUAUUUGUCUUCUGUCAAGUGACUUUCAGUUUGGCAGCGUCGGAUCAAUGCACAGUAAUGUAUGACAUAAUGAUAUGCUAUUUUGUUUGUUAUAUUCAUGGUUGCUUCUCUACGAGAUCAAACACUAACGAGAUGUAACUUUUCUGGUCAGGUUUGGCAUUCCACCCACUGGACGGCAUACUGCAAGCAGUACCACAUGUGGUAGCUCUCUUCCUACUGCCCAUGCAUUUUACUACACACAUAGCCCUCUUAUUCAUGGAGGUUGUAUGGAUUGCAAACAUCCAUGACUGCAUAAAUGGUAAAAUAUGGCCUGUAAUGGGUGCUGGUUACCAUACAAUUCACCAUACCACAGAUCGCCAUAAUUACUGCCACUACACAAUAUGGAUGGACUGGAUGUUUAACACACUUCGCGAUCCUGAGGAGGAUGAGGCCAAGAAAAGUCGUUGUGUAAUUUGAAUUUUUUUUAAAAUUUUUUGUUUCUGGCUGAGGGAGUGGGGAGGGGGUCAGUUGUCCUACAAAGUUAAUAGAAUUUUGGUACUUAGCCCCAUACUUUUGCCUUCAGGGAUAAUUACAUGGAAAAAACUUGUCUGGCAUAUAGGUUAAUUGCAUAGAUAGGCGCUAAUGUUCAUGUUCCUGUAAGUGAAAAAAGUUAGAUUAAAAUGGAAGUGACAAUGAUAAAAGGAAAAAAUCUAUGAUAUAUUUUUGGAGAAUAUGGUAAUUGUUACUAAUAUCUACUGUAUGAAGUGGAUUUUUGCAGUACCACUCAAGAAUGCUUCUGCCAUUUGAUUAACAAAACUACGUGUUUAUUUAUGUGGUAAGCAGAAUCGGCCACCCUUGAAACUUUAUCAUGAUAAGAACCUGGAAGCGUAUGACCCUGGAUACUAGAUUUUUCUACUAACUGUAGCUAUUUGAUCUUUGCAUUACCUGCUAUAUAUGUAUAUCAGCUCUUGAUGCAUUAUUAUAUCUCACGUGGAUGGUGUUAUCAUAAUAUUUUUGUUUGGUUUAAAAUCUUGUGUAACUUGAUGAGUUAUUUUGUGCCAAGAGUUUGACUAUCCCUUUUGCUACUGAUGUAUUGAGAGGAUAGAAUUAUGGCCUAUAUUAAUAAUCCUCCUCCUUAAUUAAUAAAUUGCAUUUGACCAAAAUGUUAACUAUUUUUUCAUGGCUCUGAAACUCCAUGUUAAUAGUCCCUCCAACCAAUAAAACACAGCCACAUCAGCACAAUAACCAUCCAUUUUAACUCUUUUUUUAUGGCUCUGAAACUCUGAAAAAUGGAGUUUUCAUGGCUCAUCUGAUGGCUUUUUUUUUUUGGGUUUGUUAUAUGCAGGAGUACGUUCAAUUAUUGACUCACAAAAGACGAUCCAUAUGGUAACCAACCCAAAGUCUCCAUUUGUGGAGAACAAAUUUCAUGUCAACGACUGUUAAAAACUUUAGUUAUUUUUUUUGUGUCUUUAUUUUUGAGAAAACUAUUUUUCUUAUUUUUUUCCCUUGUGAAGUUUUGGUUCUCAUUUUCCGAAGAGAGUAUAUGGAUUCUUUAAAACAAAAGAAAAAUACUUUUGUGUUUUCUUAGUUUUUUUUUUAACAAACAUUGUGUUUUCUUAGUUGCUGAUAAAAGCAUUGAAACUGAUCAAGGAGCCAUUAGUUGAGAUAGUCGUUUUAAGUACAUGUUCCAUAUAUAUUUGUAUAUGCAUGAAUUUUGCCAGCCCUUCUUCUUUUACACGAGUACCUUUUAUUUUAGUUUUACAAGAAUACCAUUUUUGGUUAAAUUUUUGUUUAUUUUGUUCCUAGAAUAUUGGUUUGAGUUCAUGGGGAUAACAUUUUGAGAAUAUAAAGUGAAUAUAGAGUAAAUAUGGCAGAUUGAGUAUUAGCCUGUUAUUGCAGAGAAUUUUCUUACCAUCUACUACCAUUUAAGUGGUUUACUACAUGUUUCUUGCUUAUUUAGACUUUACCUUUCGUGAAAAUGAUUUCAAUGUUUAUGGCAAUUAAAAGUUUGGUGUGGUAAUAUGUUGGUCUUUCUAGAUUCUUUAUAUUCCUUGAAAAGGUAACGAGAAUUUUUUGCAGCUAAAAUAACAAGAAGAUGUUAAGAUUACUUUGCAUUUAGAUCCUAUUUUCUACGAUCAUCUUCUUUUUAUUUUACUUUUGGUUAUGUUAUUAAUUUUUUAUUCUUUUAUGUUAUUAAUUUACUUUGUUUAUGUUAAAGGUGCAAAUGAUUGAAGAUGCAGUCACUCUGAAACCAAUUCAUGGAAUAACAAACUUUGUAAGUUAAAAAUGCAGUCCUUUCUUAUUUUUAUCUUGCUUUUGUGUUAAGCAUGGUCAUUAUUAGAUGGUUUAUUCUUAAUUUCAGCCUUUCAGUCCUUCACUAUUUGCAUACCAUUAAUUCAUUGUAUUGGAAUUAUAAAUACUACUUUGUUUGCGACAGAAGGUUUUUUUAGGUCUCUUAUUUUAUUUAAUUAUCUUUUAUUAUAGCAAGAAAUGUUAAGAAUUAUUCAAAUUUUACUGAGGAAAAAAUGUUUAAGUAGGCAAUUUUUUUUAGGCUUUACUCUUCAUAUAUGUAUUGAUUUGCUCUAUGGUUUUCUGCUCAACUUUUUGUCAAGAGAGGGAACAAAGAAAAAUGGUGGUUAAUUCUUACUUUUAAGCAUUAGGGUAUACGAUACGACUAAUACUUAAUACUUACUGAAUUUGUUGUUGACCAUUAUGCUGUUAUUGUAAGAAAACUUUUAAGAAUUAUUGCCACCCAAGAGCAUUCAAGAGGUUUACUCCAUAUUUCUUGCUCAUUUAGCUGUCUAUAUUGUUUGGGUAAGAUAGCAUAUGGAUAUGUCUGACAUACACAUUGUCAUGCCUUAGGUAGUGGACAUUUGUGGUGUGCAUCGAAUCACCAUUGCCAAUAUGCUUAUUUGUAAAUUAUAACAAUUUGUUUACAUAUUUAAAUUUGUGAAAUUUACUUUACAGGAUUUAUUCCUCAUCUCACCAUUAAAUGGUUAAAUGGAAUCUUUUGAGAGUACAAAUAGAACUUCAUGAAAACAAGAAACUAGAUUCGUGCAUAAAUUUGGUGAAAAUGGAACAAUUUGGUUUGAAGGCAAGAUUAAGGAAUCUUUGAUUUUCCUUUGUAUUAGCUUCUCACAAUUGCAACAAAUUUCUAAUGGCCUUGCUUUGAUUAUGUUCAGGUUCCCAUUUUAAACAGCAGGAGAAAUGGGACAAAAAAAAGAAGCCAUGAAAAGAAGCAGGGAGGGGGAUCUUCAUUAGAAAUUUGUCUGGGCAGCAUGUAAUUAACACCGCGCAUCGUGCGGUGAUCCCUCCUAGUCAAAUGAAACGUGUGAUUGGCUAACAUCUGUCAACAGCUAGAGCAAAGAGACAAAAAGCCAAUAAAGAAAAUGAUCGGGAAUUUAAAUAAAAACAUGGUAUUAUCAUAUCACUUACUUACCCUUUAGAUGUCAAAAGCAGUCUUUCUUCUCCACUUGAUAGACUACCCAACUUUAUUCAGCUUCUAAUUCAACACUACCUUUAGUGUUAAAUAUGUCUAAAUGCAUUAGCUUAAAGAUAGUGAGAAGAAUAGUUAUAGGAUUUAGUUUAAUUAUAGUGAUUAGAUAGCCUAAUUAUACUAGGUUGAUUUUAGAAUCUUGGUAGGUUGAUUUUAGGGUCAUGGUUGGUUUCAAUCUUGUAUGUAUAUAAUUGUUGUAUCUCUUAUUUUAUAUGAAAAAGGUAAUUCCCAAAAUAUCUUCCUAUCCUCCUUCUUCUCUUUCCUUGUAUCAAAGCUAUGAGAGAAAGAAAUAUUUAGACCUUUUACUUUCCAAUCCUCUCCCUUGAUAAUUUUACCCAAUGAUUUUUUUGAUCUGAUAUCAUCAUGUCUACAUUCGAUACAUCUAUAACAUCUACAUCCAAGUCCAUCACAACAACUCCUCUUAUUGUCAAUCCAUCUAUUACUAGUUCUACAAUUAUCACUAUUGAAAGGUAGUAACCACUCUACUUAGGCCGCCGAU